UUUUGCCACCGGGAGAUUUCAACAGUGCGUCGGGAAUGAAGAAGCGAUUGCACUGUCGCAGCCUUCGAUCAGCCGGAUCAUUACAGCCGUCGCCAAGGCCAUUACGGUUGUGGGCAAAGAAAAAGGAUGGGUUAGAUUCCCAUCCACGGCGCAACAGAAAGCCGCCGUCAAGGAAGGCUUUCUUAGCCGUGGAAAAAUUCCAGGAGUUCUAGGAUGUGUGGACGGGAGUCUGAUAGCCAUCGUUCGCCCUAAGAAGCUCGGCCCCGGCGAAACGGAAUCGUACUGGAGCCGUAAAGGGUAUUACGCCCUCAACUGCAUGGUCGUGUGUGAUGCAAAGCUGAAUAUCCUGGCAAUUGACCCACGGUUUCCGGGAUAGUGCCACGAUUAUUUCGUUUGGAGGCAUUCUGCAUUUCGCCGCCGCCUCACUCGUGGCCUGUUACUUCAUGGAGAAGUCUUGCUUGGGGACUCUGGGUACCCGCUAGAGCCAUGGAUCAUGACUCCUGUGCCUGGUCACCCAAAUCGCCUCACGGCAGAGGGGCGCUAUAAUGAGG
Molecule: non-coding RNA, 551 nt
Organism: Dermacentor andersoni
Lineage: Eukaryota; Metazoa; Arthropoda; Arachnida; Ixodida; Ixodidae
Source: RefSeq, a predicted model, not a curated record